Molecule: long non-coding RNA, 813 nt
Organism: Cebus imitator (Panamanian white-faced capuchin)
Lineage: Eukaryota; Metazoa; Chordata; Mammalia; Primates; Cebidae
Exons: 2
Source: RefSeq, a predicted model, not a curated record
CCAUGUGUGUCACUAGAGCUGGUGCAAGCCCAUGGUCAUGGUGAGGCACUGAUUCCACUGGAACUAAUCUGAUACCUGCACCGCUCUUGAACUGCGGAGUGUUCCCACUGCAAACUACAGAUUAGGAUUUCCCACUCCUUGUGAGUAAAAAUGAACAAGAAAUACCACAGGACCUUCAUUCCCUGUUUCGCCAUUUAUGAGAUUAAUAAAGCAAUUAACUCACAUAGUGUAAACGAAUCAUUUGAGGUGAUGACUGCAUUUUAGGCAAAUGAUGACUUUCUUGGUUCCUUUGGUUUGCAAGUAAAAGUUACACACAUUGAGAAUACACUCUGAAACAGGUUUCCUAAAUGCUUUAUUUUCUGGAUACGCCAAUGUUGACCUACUAUACAUCUUAAAUGGCUUUAAAAUAUCACCUUAAAAUAAACAAAACUUCCAGCUACUAACUUAGCUCUGAAUGGGCUAUGAAAGACUUCAAAGGUAUGAGAAAAAUUAUUAUUUUGCUUUAAAAAAUGUAAUGUCUAAGCGUGUCUGCAAUGUUCUAAAGCUUCAAAACAUGUACGUAAGCCUUGUUUAUCUGGAAAUCAUUUCUUUCUGCUUAUAUCAUUUAUAAAUAGAAAAUGUUCUGUAACAAAAUAGUUCCACAUACAUAAUGCUUUUUGUGUCAGACUACUUACUGGUCUAUAUUUACCAACAUUUAUCACAUUUUACAAAAUGAAGUAGAAGGAAAAAAAAGACAACGACUUUAUGGCCCUGGAAUUCCAGUAAUGGUGACCAACGUGUUUUAAAUUCCAGUAAAGGUUAUGGUUACAUUUC